UAACACGUGGGUAACCUGCCUGUAAGACUGGGAUAACUCCGGGAAACCGGAGCUAAUACCGGAUAGUUCCUUGAACCGCAUGGUUCAAGGAUGAAAGACGGUUUCGGCUGUCACUUACAGAUGGACCCGCGGCGCAUUAGCUAGUUGGUGAGGUAACGGCUCACCAAGGCGACGAUGCGUAGCCGACCUGAGAGGGUGAUCGGCCACACUGGGACUGAGACACGGCCCAGACUCCUACGGGAGGCAGCAGUAGGGAAUCUUCCGCAAUGGACGAAAGUCUGACGGAGCAACGCCGCGUGAGUGAUGAAGGUUUUCGGAUCGUAAAGCUCUGUUGUUAGGGAAGAACAAGUGCAAGAGUAACUGCUUGCACCUUGACGGUACCUAACCAGAAAGCCACGGCUAACUACGUGCCAGCAGCCGCGGUAAUACGUAGGUGGCAAGCGUUGUCCGGAAUUAUUGGGCGUAAAGGGCUCGCAGGCGGUUUCUUAAGUCUGAUGUGAAAGCCC
RNAcentral lists this ribosomal RNA (506 nucleotides) under Bacillus pumilus. RNAcentral's name for it is "bacterial SSU rRNA". It matches the Rfam family "Bacterial small subunit ribosomal RNA", at positions 111 to 603 of the family's 1533-position model. Lineage: Bacteria; Bacillati; Bacillota; Bacilli; Caryophanales; Bacillaceae. The record is from RNAcentral.